CCCUUAGACGUUCUGGGCCGCACGCGCGCUACACUGACCAGUGCAACAAGCAUCCGUCCUUGGCCGACAGGCUCGGGCAAUCUUUGAACGCUGGUCGUGAUGGGGAUAGACUUUUGCAAUUUUUGGUCUUCAACGAGGAAUUCCUAGUAAACGCAAGUCAUCAACUUGCAUUGAUUACGUCCCUGCCCUUUGUACACAUCGCCCGUCGCACCUACCGAUUGAAUGGUCCGGUGAAGCCUCCGGAUUGGCGCGCACCUCGGUGCCGCCGAGAAGUUGGCUAAACCUUACCAUUUAGAGGAAGGUGAAGUCGUAACA
Molecule: ribosomal RNA, 315 nt
Filed under: uncultured eukaryote
Lineage: Eukaryota
Description: partial 18S ribosomal RNA
Rfam family: Eukaryotic small subunit ribosomal RNA
Source: RNAcentral